AUUUAUGUACAUAUCUCAUGCCCUCCUUUUCCCUUUAGGAGGUAGCUCGCAUUUCAUAUACCAACACUAUAAGUGACUGCCGCUAAAGGCGCCAUUUUUAGCUCCGCAUUUACUACAAGAUUCUCCAAGUACAAAAUCGCCGGCGGAUGAAGAAGCCUGAAUCUUUAUGUUUACUGCAUGCAAGGAUUCUGAUGGGGAGGGGGUUUGGGGGAGACCGGUCGCGUAAAUAAUUUAUUGGUUCUGGCUUGGGGUCUUCACGCGAAUGCGAAUCCAAAUUGCGUAAUGGGUAGUUGUGUUGACGAGGCGAACAUCCUUCGAUCUACUUGCUUGGAGUGUGAUUUAUUCAACAUACUGGUAUUCAACUUGACUCAGUUUUAAUAAAUGAUAACAAACGUGCUUUAUUUAUCAUGAACACAUGUGUUAAUAACUAAGGGGGUCAAGUGUCAUCGAUGAAUUUCUCUUACAUGUACAUGUAUGGCCAAUAGAGAGAACUUGAUUGCUUUCGACACUCAGAGGACGCCUAUUUUAGAGACAAAUUGGCAUAUCGAACAUGGCACCGGAGGUGAUAGGUAUUCUUUUGAUAUGCAUCGCCGGCUUAACUGUUGCAUUGAAUAACGAAACUGAGACGACUACAGUGUCUACGUGGACGGUGAUACCGGAGACAUGUCCGAAGUACCAUUAUCGACGAGCCGCCACAGAUACUUGCGAAGAUUGUAGUAUACCUUGUGCUCUCGACAAGAAGACGUGCAGUCAAUUCUGUCAAGAUUAUCUCGACUAUCUCGAAGAAGAGGCUCAGCACGCUAAAAACUUUAAGAUAGGUCUUGGAGUCGGAAUCCCAGUUGUCUUUAUUGUGAUGGCGUUAGUGGGAUUGUUCUUAUGCAGAUUCGAGCGCAAACGGCAAGAACAGAGAAUUCGACACCCAGAAUCUGCUGACAACGACGAAGAAAGUUACUGAUUAAAAAAUCGCGUCGUGUGAGUCUAGGAAGCAAAGUGCUGAUCAGACAACAAGCAUGAUUUGAAAGUCUCGUGCGUAACUUGAUUAACCAAACUAAUUCCCGAUUGUCUAUCUUGCCUAAUCAGUCAAUUCAUGGUGUUGUCACGUUUCGCUCAAGUUCUCGGGAUAUUUUGAUUAGCCCUGAUCCAUGAUAAGAGUGUGUCUUGUCGGAAUCAGUGCAACCAGAGUCUUUCAUUAAUUUAUUGAAAGACUGGUGUAACAUGAACUUCACUUUCAACAUGGCGUUAAGUGUAACUUGAUUGUUAUUUGUCUUAUACAAUUACUGCACGGAUGGUGGCAACUACCUCUUCAGCAUUCUGCUUUUUCUUCUCUUGAUUGGGCUGAUAUCAGAACCAUGCCAUGUAAACCCAUUCGGUCUUGAUAUGAAAAAAGACUUAGAAAUGCUUUUCGACUGAAAUUUGACAAAGUCAUGUGCUUUUCUGUAUAUAACUGAAAUAAAAAAAAUAAAAUAAAUCUCCAAAUAUGUAUAUUCUGACAUAAAUACUCAGUCUUGACCGACCAUGCCGAGUGGCAUAUGAUUCUCAAACAAUUUGGCAAGACCCAAUUGAACAUUAUUCCGCAGACAACCUAACAUUCAGAAAACGACUCCAAGUCCCAUCUACACUGAUGCACCUCUACUUUGGGCCGCAUGUGGAUUUAGCGGAAACUGCGGAACCUGCGGACACUUCUUAAAAAGCUAAUUAAGCAGUAGGAAGACAUCUGAUCGGUAUUGAAUACAUCAUCAGUAUUUGUAAUAUUGGUCACGUUUUGUCUUUGUCCUACCAUGGACGUUACCAAAACAGUCCGAGACAAUUUACUCAUGCAUGUUGUGGGUCCUUUCCUUCAUAUGAUGCUUGAUAAAUAUACUUACAUCAGAUACGUGCAAUGGACUAUUACAACUAUCAAUUAUACUCUGAAAUGCAUAUUUCAUAUCAAUUUGAUAUUCUCAUAUACUGUUUUUCCGGGACUGUUUUUAGGCUGUUUUCGCCCAGUUUCCGCAGAUUUCCCAAGUUCCGCAGAUGAGAUUCCGCUAGACCGCAAUAGCCUCUAUACUUUCAGGAAAGAAUUCUCUCGAAAGGACUCGCCUCGGGGCAUAAACCAUUAGAACGGUGUCGGAGCUAGCUGAUGAAUUAAACAAGCGCGAUGAAGACUGAAGUGGAGACCCGGGGACUUGAGUAGUAGAAGCUCUACCAACAAGUAUCACCCAAGAGUAUCAAUAGAUUCCGCUGUCUCACUAUUAGCAUAUAGAGUGCCCUUUCAGCUCUUACUUUAUCAUCAAGUAAAUUCUUGGAAGGAGAUAUUAGAUGUGGAAUUUUGGCAGUGGAGAUAUUUGUCUUG
This is a long non-coding RNA of Lineus longissimus, 2332 nucleotides long. RefSeq lists it as uncharacterized. The record is from RefSeq and is a predicted model, not a curated record. The transcript has 3 exons. Lineage: Eukaryota; Metazoa; Nemertea; Pilidiophora; Heteronemertea; Lineidae.